This 565-nucleotide long non-coding RNA is filed under the name Brassica napus (rape). RNAcentral's name for it is "long non-coding RNA (BNAP_LNC026653)". The record is from RNAcentral. Lineage: Eukaryota; Viridiplantae; Streptophyta; Magnoliopsida; Brassicales; Brassicaceae.
GACACUCUAAGCACAUGAAACUGUCAAGCUCGAUAUUCCACAUGCGACGCUCUAACUAUACUCCUCAAAGUCAGGGGACACGAGCUCUCCCGAGUAAUGAUCAACAUUGGAAAUUCAAUUGGCGUUAUCUUUUACGACGCAUUCAAAGGACGAGUUUCCCCAAAACCCUUCUAAGACAAGAAUUUACGCCGCUAAUUGUCUUCAAUGAAGUAAACGAACUCGCCGUACAGCAAGGAGAAAUCAUCAAACAAUAAAUGAUCAUAAAGGAGCAAGAAUCUCAAGGAUGUCAAACAUGAUAAACGACUUCCAUGACCUUUAUUUGUGUAGACACCGAGAUCGCUAUCCCGACCUGGAAUGAUUGAUUAUAGAUCCAACCAUGACCACUAUAAGCAUGAUCCACAACGAAGAAACUAAGCCGCCCUCCCACUCACUAGAUGCAGGAGGCAAACAGGCUAACCACCAGAUCCGAUGGAAUCAGACAUCACACUUGAUCUCACAAGAUAAAAAUUCGUGAGGUCCCGUGUCAACUUCGAUAAUUACAGUAGUACCAAAAUCUCAGACACUC